RNAcentral lists this ribosomal RNA (497 nucleotides) under uncultured bacterium. RNAcentral describes it as "partial 16S ribosomal RNA". It matches the Rfam family "Bacterial small subunit ribosomal RNA", at positions 28 to 507 of the family's 1533-position model. The record is from RNAcentral.
GAUGAACGCUGGCGGCGUGCCUAAUACAUGCAAGUCGAGCGAACAGACGAGGAGCUUGCUCCUUUGACGUUAGCGGCGGACGGGUGAGUAACACGUAGGUAACCUACCUAUAAGACUGGGAUAACUUCGGGAAACCGGAGCUAAUCCCGGAUAAUAUUUCGAACCGCAUGGUUCGAUAGUGAAAGAUGGCUUUGCUAUCACUUAUAGAUGGACCUGCGCCGUAUUAGCUAGUUGGUAAGGUAACGGCUUACCAAGGCAACGAUACGUAGCCGACCUGAGAGGGUGAUCGGCCACACUGGAACUGAGACACGGUCCAGACUCCUACGGGAGGCAGCAGUAGGGAAUCUUCCGCAAUGGGCGAAAGCCUGACGGAGCAACGCCGCGUGAGUGAUGAAGGUCUUCGGAUCGUAAAACUCUGUUAUUAGGGAAGAACAAACGUGUAAGUAACUGUGCACGUCUUGACGGUACCUAAUCAGAAAGCCACGGCUAACUACGUG